CAGACCUCGUGACUUCCUACCGAAAAGAAACCGUGCGGUUCAAGGAUCCGAUAUUUAUCAAAGGUUUACAACGGAAUUGACACAAUAUUCGGACUGUACCAGUAGUACUUGGUUGUUGUCCUCCGUCUUCACACAAUUAUCGCCAUAGAAAUUAUCUAAUUUAAUGAAUUACUUGCUGAUAAAUUCCUCGAUAAGUUCAGCAGUGCAAUUCCAAACAACAGACCUCAUGACUUCCCACCGAAAAGAAACGUGCGGUUCAAGGAUCCGAUAUUUAUCAAAGGUUUACAACGGAAUUGACACAAUAUUCGGACUGUACCAGUAGUACUUGGUUGUUGUCCUCCGUCUUCACACAAUUAUCGCCAUAGAAAUUAUCUAAUUUUAUG
Molecule: long non-coding RNA, 383 nt
Filed under: Harpegnathos saltator (Jerdon's jumping ant)
Lineage: Eukaryota; Metazoa; Arthropoda; Insecta; Hymenoptera; Formicidae
Description: uncharacterized LOC112588912, transcript variant X2
Source: RNAcentral